CGGAUGACUCUCGGCAACGGAUAUCUCGGCCCUCGCAUCGAUGAAGAACGUAGCGAAAUGCGAUACGUGGUGUGAAUUGCAGAAUCCCGCGAACCAUUGAGUCUUUGAACGCAAGUUGCGCCCGAGGCCUUCUGGUCGAGGGCACGCCUGCCUGGGCGUCACGC
This 164-nucleotide ribosomal RNA is filed under the name Trachyphrynium braunianum. RNAcentral's name for it is "5.8S ribosomal RNA". It matches the Rfam family "5.8S ribosomal RNA". Rfam says of the family: 5.8S ribosomal RNA (5.8S rRNA) is a component of the large subunit of the eukaryotic ribosome. It is transcribed by RNA polymerase I as part of the 45S precursor that also contains 18S and 28S rRNA. The record is from RNAcentral. Lineage: Eukaryota; Viridiplantae; Streptophyta; Magnoliopsida; Zingiberales; Marantaceae.